This 253-nucleotide ribosomal RNA is filed under the name uncultured bacterium. Its description in RNAcentral is "partial 16S ribosomal RNA". It matches the Rfam family "Bacterial small subunit ribosomal RNA", at positions 524 to 776 of the family's 1533-position model. The record is from RNAcentral.
GACGAACCGUGCGAACGUUGUUCGGAUUCACUGGGCUUAAAGGGCGCGUAGGCGGGCGGUCAAGUCAGGGGUGAAAUCUUUCGGCCUAACCGGAAAAGGGCCUCUGAUACUGGCCGUCUCGAGGGAGGUAGGGGCAUGCGGAACUUCCGGUGGAGCGGUGAAAUGCGUAGAUAUCGGAAGGAACGCCGGUGGCGAAAGCGGCGUGCUGGACCUCUUCAGACGCUGAGGCGCGAAAGCCAGGGGAGCGAACGGG